RNAcentral lists this ribosomal RNA (468 nucleotides) under uncultured bacterium. RNAcentral describes it as "partial 16S ribosomal RNA". The stretch from base 49 to 468 matches the Rfam family "Bacterial small subunit ribosomal RNA", at positions 39 to 507 of the family's 1533-position model. The record is from RNAcentral.
GGGGGGGGGGGGGGGCGGGGGGGGGGGGUGCGGGGCGAGCGGGGGGGCCCGGCGUGGGUGGGGGGCGCGGGGGGCGAAGGGGGGAGGAAGACGGGAGGAGCCUGCCCUGGACGUUGGGACAAGUUCCGGACACUGGGGCUAAUACCGGCGACGCGCUCCGGCUGCACGGGGGGGCGCUGAAAGUUUCGGCGGUUGGGGAUGGACUCGCAGCUUCUCUGCUUGUUGGUGGGGUAGUGGCUUACCAAGGCUUUGACGGGUAGCCGCACUGAGAGGGUGACCGGCGACAUUGGGACUGAGGUGCGGCCCAGACUCGUACGGGAGGCAGCAGUGGGGAAUAUUGCGGAAUGGGCGGAAGCCUGAUGCGGCGACGCCGCGUGCGGGAUGACGGCCUUCGGGGUGUAAACCGCUGUCGCCUGUGACGAAGCGUGAGUGACGGGAAUGGGUGAAGAAGCACCGGCUAACUACGUG